RNAcentral lists this long non-coding RNA (229 nucleotides) under Phoenix dactylifera (date palm). RNAcentral's name for it is "long non-coding RNA (PDAC_LNC003984)". Lineage: Eukaryota; Viridiplantae; Streptophyta; Magnoliopsida; Arecales; Arecaceae. The record is from RNAcentral.
UGAUAUGUUUUAAGAACUCUCAGAUCGCUAUGCACGACCCCUGCCAGUGGGUAACAGUAACUAGGCAUAUGACCCCCGCCAGUGGGUAAAAGUAACUUGGCUUUACGACCCUCGCCAGUGGGUAAUAGUAACUGGAAGAAGACCCUGCCAACGGGGAACAAUAGUUGGCAAAGAUUAUGGCCCUCGCCAGCGGGUUACAGUAGCUCAGCAUACGGCCCUCGCCAGCGGG